Molecule: ribosomal RNA, 424 nt
Filed under: uncultured bacterium
Lineage: Bacteria
Description: bacterial SSU rRNA
Rfam family: Bacterial small subunit ribosomal RNA
Source: RNAcentral
GAGGAAUAUUGGUCAAUGGACGAGAGUCUGAACCAGCCAAAUCGCGUGAAGGAAGACUGCCCUACGGGUUGUAAACUUCUUUUGUACAGGAAUAAAAGACAUUACGUGUAAUGUGUUGCAUGUACUGUACGAAUAAGCAUCGGCUAACUCCGUGCCAGCAGCCGCGGUAAUACGGAGGAUGCGAGCGUUAUCCGGAUUUAUUGGGUUUAAAGGGUGCGCAGGCGGGAUUUUAAGUCAGCGGUGAAAUUUUCAGGCUCAACCUGAACACUGCCGUUGAAACUGGGAUUCUUGAGUAUGGAUGAAGUAGGCGGAAUUCGUUGUGUAGCGGUGACAUGCUUAGAUAUAACGAGGAACUCCGAUUGCGUAGGCAGCUUACUAAGCCAUAACUGACGCUCAAGCACGAAAGCGUGGGGAUCAAACAGGA